CCUACGGGUGGCAGCAGUGAGGAAUAUUGGUCAAUGGGCGGAAGCCUGAACCAGCCAAGUCGCGUGAGGGAGUAAGGCCCUACGGGUCGUAAACCUCUUUUGCCGGGGAGCAGUGCCCAGCUCGUGAGCUGGGAGGGAGCGUACCCGGAGAAAAAGCAUCGGCUAACUCCGUGCCAGCAGCCGCGGUAAUACGGAGGAUGCGAGCGUUAUCCGGAUUUAUUGGGUUUAAAGGGUGCGCAGGCGGGCUGUUAAGCCGGCGGUAAAAAUUCAGGGCUCAACCCUGUCGAGCCGUCGGAACUGGCAGUCUUGAGUGGGCGAGAAGUAUGCGGAAUGCGUGGUGUAGCGGUGAAAUGCAUAGAUAUGACGAAGAACCCCGAUUGCGAAGGCAGCUUGCUGCAGCGGAACUGACGCUGAUGCUCGAAAGCGCGGGUAUCGAACAGGAUUAGAUACCCUAGUAGUC
Molecule: ribosomal RNA, 460 nt
Filed under: uncultured bacterium
Lineage: Bacteria
Description: partial 16S ribosomal RNA
Rfam family: Bacterial small subunit ribosomal RNA
Source: RNAcentral